UUGUGCAGUUUGGCGUAUGAUACAAUCCACUCGCGCCAGUGAGCAAAAUAGUCAUCUUGGGGGUAAAGGGGUGUGGUUGACAUAAGUGAAAAAUAACAAAUAUAACUUAUGAUUCAGAAAUUCAAAACCAAUUUUAUUAAGCAUGUAUCUUCCCCUUGAUCUAAUUAGUCCUUUCGACCUGUAAUUUACAAAUUUUUAUACGUGGCGUUUAAUUCUCGCAUGAAAAUGCAAUGAGGCAAUUCACCCUGUCAUUGGCAAGAUGUAAAAUGGGCUUCACCGCGUUGCAAAUUUGGCCUCCAAAAUUCAAAUUUGUAAUUGACAAUUGCCCAUGAAGUUCAAACUUGAGAAGCUACGCGAAGGUAUCUCUUGGAGAAAAUCACAGCAUCACUUCUGCACGUCCUUUGGUCCGUUGGUCUCGACUGCUUUAUGCUCACUCACGUAGAAGACAAAAGGAUAUUUCCUGAAUUUGGACCCUCUUUUUAACCGUGGACGGAUUAUUCGGCGUCAUGUUCCGCUUCAGAACCCCGACCAAAGUUUUACUCCCGCUGUUCGGG
Molecule: long non-coding RNA, 554 nt
Organism: Folsomia candida
Lineage: Eukaryota; Metazoa; Arthropoda; Collembola; Entomobryomorpha; Isotomidae
Exons: 4
Source: RefSeq, a predicted model, not a curated record